This 497-nucleotide ribosomal RNA is filed under the name uncultured bacterium. Its description in RNAcentral is "partial 16S ribosomal RNA". It matches the Rfam family "Bacterial small subunit ribosomal RNA", at positions 28 to 507 of the family's 1533-position model. The record is from RNAcentral.
GAUGAACGCUGGCGGCGUGCCUAAUACAUGCAAGUCGAGCGAACGGACGAGAAGCUUGCUUCUCUGAUGUUAGCGGCGGACGGGUGAGUAACACGUGGAUAACCUACCUAUAAGACUGGGAUAACUUCGGGAAACCGUAGCUUAUACCGGAUAAUCUUUUGAACCGCAUGGGUCAUAAGUGAAAGACGGUCUUGCUGUCACUUAUAGAUGGAUCCGCGCUGCAUUAGCUAGUUGGUAAGGUAACGGCUUACCAAGGCAACGAUGCAUAGCCGACCUGAGAGGGUGAUCGGCCACACUGGAACUGAGACACGGUCAAGACUCCUACGGGAGGCAGCAGUAGGGAAUCUUCCGCAGUGGGCGAGAGCCUGACGGAGCAACGCCGCGUGAGUGAUGAAGGUCUUCGGAUCGUAAAACUCUGUUAUGAGGGAAGAACAUAUGUGUAAGUAACUGUGCACAUCUUGACGGUACCUAAUCAGAAAGCCACGGCUAACUACGUG